This 460-nucleotide ribosomal RNA is filed under the name uncultured bacterium. RNAcentral describes it as "partial 16S ribosomal RNA". It matches the Rfam family "Bacterial small subunit ribosomal RNA", at positions 338 to 795 of the family's 1533-position model. The record is from RNAcentral.
CCUACGGGAGGCAGCAGUGAGGAAUAUUGGUCAAUGGGCGCGAGCCUGAACCAGCCAAGUAGCGUGAAGGAUGACUGCCCUACGGGUUGUAAACUUCUUUUAUAAAGGAGUAAAGUGAGGCACGUGUGCCUUUUUGUAUGUACUUUAUGAAUAAGGAUCGGCUAACUCCGUUCCAGCAGCCGCGGUAAUACGGAGGAUCCGAGCGUUGUCCGGAUUUAUUGGGUUUAAAGGGAGCGUAGAUGGGUUGUUAAGUCAGUUGUGAAAGUUUGCGGCUCAACCGUAAAAGUGCAAUUGAUACUGGCAGCCUUGAGUGCAGUAGAGGUAGGUGGAAUUCGUGGUGUAGCGGUGAAAUGCUUAGAUAUCACGAAGAACUCCGAUUGCGAAGGCAGCUUACUAGACUGCCACUGACAUUGAUGCUCGAAAGUGUGGGUAUCAAACAGGAUUAGAUACCCGGGUAGUC